GCCGAAGUGGCGGAACUGGUAGACGCGCUAUCUUGAGGGGGUAGUGGGCGUAAGCCCGUGCGGGUUCGAGUCCCGCCUUCGGCACCA
This 87-nucleotide transfer RNA is filed under the name Thermoplasmatales archaeon ex4484_36. RNAcentral's name for it is "tRNA-Leu". It matches the Rfam family "tRNA". From Rfam's summary of the family: Transfer RNA (tRNA) molecules are approximately 80 nucleotides in length. Their secondary structure includes four short double-helical elements and three loops (D, anti-codon, and T loops). Further hydrogen bonds mediate the characteristic L-shaped molecular structure. tRNAs have two regions of fundamental functional importance: the anti-codon, which is responsible for specific mRNA codon recognition, and the 3' end, to which the tRNAs corresponding amino acid is attached (by aminoacyl-tRNA synthetases). tRNAs cope with the degeneracy of the genetic code in two manners: having more than one tRNA (with a specific anti-codon) for a particular amino acid; and 'wobble' base-pairing, i.e. permitting non-standard base-pairing at the 3rd anti-codon position. The record is from RNAcentral. RNAcentral also lists the same sequence under 3 other names. Lineage: Archaea; Methanobacteriati; Thermoplasmatota; Thermoplasmata; Thermoplasmatales.